RNAcentral lists this ribosomal RNA (254 nucleotides) under uncultured bacterium. RNAcentral describes it as "partial 16S ribosomal RNA". It matches the Rfam family "Bacterial small subunit ribosomal RNA", at positions 524 to 776 of the family's 1533-position model. The record is from RNAcentral.
UACGGGGGGAGCAAGCGUUGUUCGGAUUUACUGGGCGUAAAGGGCGCGUAGGCGGUCAGCACAAGUCAGUUGUGAAAUCUCCGGGCUUAACUCGGAAAGGUCAACUGAUACUGUGCGACUAGAGUGCAGAAGGGGCAACUGGAAUUCUCGGUGUAGCGGUGAAAUGCGUAGAUAUUGGGAGGAACACCGGUGGCGAAGGCGGCCCCCUGGACCGGUACUGACGCUGAGACGCGAAAGCGUGGGUAGCAAACGGG